Molecule: ribosomal RNA, 482 nt
Filed under: uncultured bacterium
Lineage: Bacteria
Description: partial 16S ribosomal RNA
Rfam family: Bacterial small subunit ribosomal RNA
Source: RNAcentral
AUUGAACGCUGGCGGCAUGCUUUACACAUGCAAGUCGAACGGUAACAGGCCGCAAGGUGCUGACGAGUGGCGAACGGGUGAGUAAUGCAUCGGAACGUGCCCAGUCGUGGGGGAUAACUACUCGAAAGAGUAGCUAAUACCGCAUACGAUCUAUGGAUGAAAGCGGGGGACCGUAAGGCCUCGCGCGAUUGGAGCGGCCGAUGUCAGAUUAGGUAGUUGGUGGGGUAAAGGCUCACCAAGCCAACGAUCUGUAGCUGGUCUGAGAGGACGCCCAGCCACACUGGGACUGAGACACGGCCCAGACUCCUACGGGAGGCAGCAGUGGGGAAUUUUGGACAAUGGGCGCAAGCCUGAUCCAGCAAUGCCGCGUGCAGGAAGAAGGCCUUCGGGUUGUAAACUGCUUUUGUACGGAACGAAACGGCUCUGGUUAAUACCCGGGGCUAAUGACGGUACCGUAAGAAUAAGCACCGGCUAACUACGUG